This 441-nucleotide ribosomal RNA is filed under the name uncultured bacterium. RNAcentral describes it as "partial 16S ribosomal RNA". It matches the Rfam family "Bacterial small subunit ribosomal RNA", at positions 338 to 795 of the family's 1533-position model. The record is from RNAcentral.
CCUACGGGCGGCAGCAGUGGGGGAUAUUGCACAAUGGGGGGAACCCUGAUGCAGCGACGCCGCGUGGGUGAAGGAGUGCUUCGGCAUGUAAAGCCCUAUCGGCAGGGAAGAAGCAAGACGGUACCUGACUAAGAAGCCCCGGCUAACUACGUGCCAGCAGCCGCGGUAAGACGUAGGGGGCGAGCGUUAUCCGGAUUCACUGGGUGUAAAGGGAGCGUAGACGGCCAUGCAAGCCAGGGGUGAAAGCCCGGGGCCCAACCCCGGGACUGCCCUUGGAACUGCAUGGCGGGAGUGCGGGAGGGGCAGGCGGAAUUCCUGGUGUAGCGGUGAAAUGCGUAGAUAUCAGGAGGAACACCGGCGGCGAAGGCGGCCUGCUGGACCGCGACUGACGUUGAGGCUCGAAAGCGUGGGGAGCGAACAGGAUUAGAUACCCUGGUAGUC